RNAcentral lists this ribosomal RNA (491 nucleotides) under uncultured bacterium. Its description in RNAcentral is "bacterial SSU rRNA". It matches the Rfam family "Bacterial small subunit ribosomal RNA", at positions 29 to 509 of the family's 1533-position model. The record is from RNAcentral.
AGUGAACGCUGGCGGCAGGCCUAAUACAUGCAAGUCGAACGGCAGCACAGCAGAGCUUGCUCUGUGGGUGGCGAGUGGCGGACGGGUGAGGAAUACAUGGGAAUCUGCCCAGUCGUGGGGGAUAACGUAUGGAAACGUACGCUAAUACCGCAUGCGCCCUAAGGGGGAAAGCCGGGGACCGCAAGGCCUGGCGCGAUUGGAUGAGCCCAUGUUCGAUUAGCUAGUUGGCGGGGUAAAGGCCCACCAAGGCGACGAUCGAUAGCUGGUCUGAGAGGAUGAUCAGCCACACUGGAACUGAGACACGGUCCAGACUCCUACGGGAGGCAGCAGUAGGGAAUAUUGGACAAUGGGGGCAACCCUGAUCCAGCCAUGCCGCGUGAGUGAAGAAGGCCCUCGGGUUGUAAAGCUCUUUUGUCCGGAAAGAAAGCAAUCGGUUAAUACCCGGUUGUCCUGACGGUACCGGAAGAAUAAGCACCGGCUAACUACGUGCC